This 252-nucleotide ribosomal RNA is filed under the name uncultured bacterium. Its description in RNAcentral is "partial 16S ribosomal RNA". It matches the Rfam family "Bacterial small subunit ribosomal RNA", at positions 524 to 776 of the family's 1533-position model. The record is from RNAcentral.
UACGGGGGUGCGAGCGUUGUCCGGAAUCACUGGGCGUAAAGGGCGCGUAGGUGGUUUGAUAAGGGUGUGGUGAAAGCCCGGGGCUCAACCCCGGGUCUGCCGUGCCGACUGUUAAACUCGAGGGCUGUAGAGGCAGACGGAAUUCCGGGUGUAGCGGUGGAAUGCGUAGAGAUCCGGAGGAAGACCGGUGGCGAAGGCGGUCUGCUGGGCAGUUUCUGACACUGAUGCGCGACAGCGUGGGGAGCAAACAGG